Long non-coding RNA from Clupea harengus (Atlantic herring), 562 nucleotides. The record is from Ensembl. Lineage: Eukaryota; Metazoa; Chordata; Actinopteri; Clupeiformes; Clupeidae.
GUGGGAACGUGCCUGAACAACAUCGCUGAGCAAUGCCCGGCAUAAUUGAUCAAAAAGUUGCCAAAAACGUUGCUGAACAGGCUUUCAAGAAUAGCACCACUGCAAUAUCGGAUACUUUUGACAUGAACCCAGCAGAGCCUCUCCUGUGCUUUCCAUCAUUGAGGACGUCUUCACCGCCAGAUAUGUUCCACUUCCUACUGAUCUCAGGUAUUUUUACAUUGUCCCUAUGCAUCCCAGUGCCCAAAGGCUUUGCCAGUCACUCGGACAACAUCGAGUUCUACGACGACCUUGAGAGCUCACGACUUCUGCUGAGUCCUGGGUCCGGGCCCAAUAUCGCCCCGCGGGUCGAACUGCCCCCCGAAGACACACUUCUGGGAGAAGACCCGGAGUUCUUCCCUCUGCUUUUUCAGGAGAACUCCCGCCCAGCAAAGCACUGAGGCUCACCUUAUGUUCUGUGGUUAGCGACCACACCUGAAAACUUAGUAAAACCCUUAAGCCAAUGUGAAGAGUGUUAAUCGCUAUGUAUUCAACUUUGACAACAAACAAUGAAUGAUAUAUGCUG